Molecule: long non-coding RNA, 505 nt
Filed under: Linum usitatissimum (flax)
Lineage: Eukaryota; Viridiplantae; Streptophyta; Magnoliopsida; Malpighiales; Linaceae
Description: long non-coding RNA (LUSI_LNC003903)
Source: RNAcentral
GCAAUGGAAGAGGAAGACGAUAUACCUUCCCCGAGGUUCCUUAAAAAGGCUUCUGGCGAUUUCCCGCCGAAAGGGAACAUCCCGAAAGUCCCCAAGUUCACGAAAGAGAUCAAGGGAAUGUUCCAAUCCGCCACCAAAAAGCUGCAGCCUAAGAAAUCGAUGAAAGCGUCAGCAAGUUCUGUUUCGAAAUCCAGUCUGACGAAACCUGAGGCGUUCAAGGAGAUAGAUAAGCUUCAAAAGCAGGUUCUUGGGUUGCAGACCGAGAAAGAGUUUGUGAAAAGCUCGUAUGAGAAUGGGUUAGCUAAGUAUUGGGAGAUCGAUCAGCAGAUUAGGGAGAUUCAGGAUAAAGCUUGUACCUUGCAAGAAGAGUUUGGGGCGGAGAACGUUAUUGAAGAUGAUGAAGCUCGAUCGGUGAUGACCUCUGCUGCGUUGAGAUCGUGUCAGGAGACGCUGGCUAAGUUGGAGGAGAAGCAAGAGAAGUCGGUCGAGGAAGCGAAGAAAGAAC